UACGUAGGGUGCGAGCGUUGUUCGGAAUCAUUGGGCGUAAAGGGCGUGUAGGCGGUUUGUUAAGUCAUGUGUGAAAUCCCUCGGCUCAACCGGGGAACGACGCAUGAAACUGGCAAGCUAGAGUACCAAAGAGGGGGGUGGAAUUUCCGGUGUAGCGGUGAAAUGCGUAGAUAUCGGAAGGAACACCAGUGGCGAAAGCGGCUUCCUGGUCCAGCACCGACGUUCAGGCACGAAAGCGUGGGGAGCAAACAGG
Molecule: ribosomal RNA, 253 nt
Filed under: uncultured bacterium
Lineage: Bacteria
Description: partial 16S ribosomal RNA
Rfam family: Bacterial small subunit ribosomal RNA
Source: RNAcentral